GACUCCAUAGCUCAGCUGGAUAGAGCAACAGCCUUCUAAGCUGUCGGUCGUUGGUUCGAAUCCAACUGGAGCCA
Molecule: transfer RNA, 74 nt
Filed under: Chitinophagales bacterium
Lineage: Bacteria; Pseudomonadati; Bacteroidota; Chitinophagia; Chitinophagales
Description: tRNA-Arg
Rfam family: tRNA
About the family: Transfer RNA (tRNA) molecules are approximately 80 nucleotides in length. Their secondary structure includes four short double-helical elements and three loops (D, anti-codon, and T loops).
Source: RNAcentral